UGCCUCGCUGCAGAGAAGCCGCUCCGAGGAGAGGAGCGGUGCUCGAAUCUCGCCUUCCCAUCUCCUCCACCACUUGCACUUGGAACUUUUCUUAGCCUCACUACCCAGGGGAUUUCAUCCGGUUUUCUUUUUUUUUUUUUUUAAUUCUGUCCCCUCCCCGGGGCCCCAAAUGCCACCCUGCAAUCAAUGUGAUGGAAGAAUGUGGCACUUGAAACAGCUGCAUCCACCUUGUGACCAUGAGGGAGUCCACACACCUGGGAUGACAAGUCUGUUUGCCCACGCCUGUGAAUCUGAGCUGGACCUGUGUCUUGCUUUGAUCAGUGAAACGUGCCAGAAAUGAUGGUAUGUGAUUUCUGAAGCUACACCUCGAGAGGCCUUGCAGCUCCCUCUUUUACCCUCUUGAAACUUCACCCUAAGAACACAUAGCCUACUGGAGGAUGAGAAACCACCUGGAAGAGAAACAAGGUGCCCAGCCCACGGCCAGCACCAACUGCCAUUCACGUGAGCAAGGCUCUCCCUCCCAGCCCGGCUGACCCUUCAACAGGAUGCUCUUCUCGAACCACUAAACCCAGGUGAAACCAACCAAGAACAGCCCACUCCACCUGCAGAAUUGUGGGCAAUAAUAAAUCAUUUUACAUCAUUAAGUUUUAG
Long non-coding RNA from Ailuropoda melanoleuca (giant panda), 651 nucleotides. RefSeq lists it as uncharacterized. The transcript has 3 exons. Lineage: Eukaryota; Metazoa; Chordata; Mammalia; Carnivora; Ursidae. The record is from RefSeq and is a predicted model, not a curated record.